Unclassified non-coding RNA from Papio anubis (olive baboon), 300 nucleotides. It matches the Rfam family "Metazoan signal recognition particle RNA". Rfam says of the family: The signal recognition particle (SRP) is a universally conserved ribonucleoprotein. It is involved in the co-translational targeting of proteins to membranes. Lineage: Eukaryota; Metazoa; Chordata; Mammalia; Primates; Cercopithecidae. The record is from Ensembl.
GCCGGGCGCGGUGGCGCGUGCCUGUAGUCCCAGCUACUAGGGAGGCUGAGGCUGGAGGAUCGCUUGAGUCCAGGAGUUCUGGGCUGCAGUGCGCUAUGCCGAUCGGGUGUCCGCACUAAGUUCGGCAUCAAUAUGGUGACCUCCCGGGAGCGGGGGACCACCAGGUUGCCUAAGGAGGGGUGAACCGGCCCAGGUCGGAAACGGAGCAGGUCAAAACUCCCGUGCUGAUCAGUAGUGGGAUCGCGCCUGUGAAUAGCCACUGCACUCCAGCCUGGGCAACAUAGCGAGACCCUGUCUCUU